This 159-nucleotide ribosomal RNA is filed under the name uncultured Bacillus sp. RNAcentral describes it as "partial 16S ribosomal RNA". It matches the Rfam family "Bacterial small subunit ribosomal RNA", at positions 118 to 278 of the family's 1533-position model. The record is from RNAcentral. Lineage: Bacteria; Bacillati; Bacillota; Bacilli; Caryophanales; Bacillaceae.
UGGGCAACUGCCUGUAAGAUGGGAUAAACGGGAAACGGCUAAUACGGAUAAUUCUUUCCCUCUCAUGAGGGAAAGUUGAAAGUCGGUCUCGGCUGACACUUACAGAUGGGCCCGCGGCGCAUUAGCUAGUUGGUGAGGUAACGGCUCACCAAGGCGACG